ACAGUGAUGGUUUAGGGGUAGAAUUCUCACCUCCCAUGUGAGAAACCCAGGUUCGAUUACUGGCCAAUGUA
This 71-nucleotide transfer RNA is filed under the name Loxodonta africana (African savanna elephant). It matches the Rfam family "tRNA". Rfam says of the family: Transfer RNA (tRNA) molecules are approximately 80 nucleotides in length. Their secondary structure includes four short double-helical elements and three loops (D, anti-codon, and T loops). Further hydrogen bonds mediate the characteristic L-shaped molecular structure. tRNAs have two regions of fundamental functional importance: the anti-codon, which is responsible for specific mRNA codon recognition, and the 3' end, to which the tRNAs corresponding amino acid is attached (by aminoacyl-tRNA synthetases). tRNAs cope with the degeneracy of the genetic code in two manners: having more than one tRNA (with a specific anti-codon) for a particular amino acid; and 'wobble' base-pairing, i.e. permitting non-standard base-pairing at the 3rd anti-codon position. The record is from Rfam by way of RNAcentral. Lineage: Eukaryota; Metazoa; Chordata; Mammalia; Proboscidea; Elephantidae.